AUUACUUCCACAUUGUUCACAAUUUCUUUUUUUUUUUGGUCUAGGAAGAAAUCUCUCGAUCGACUCCUCGAGGAUUUGCAAAAACGGAAAAUCCGAUUAUGAUCUUUGAUUCGUUGAUUCCGCCUGAUACACGAUGUGAUUAGUUGGGUUUCUCACUCGUCGUCGCCAAGAUGACAGUAUCGCUUGGAGGAAGAAACUCACCUGCCUUUCUUUUUCCGCCAGAGCUGCUGCUUUUACAUUCCUGGAAGCUUACUCCGCGUGAGACCAUCGUCGCCAAGGUAAAUGCUCUGUCUAUGACUCAAAACUUUUGACUUUGUCCUCGUUUGAAUUCCAUCCUCAAAGAACAGAGAUUCGAAACACAUUAGUUCAGUUCUAAUCGAUGACAUAGCAUUUUUGAAAUCCAAAAAGAUCAUUGGCAAGCACUAAUCUAAUAGUGUUCUGUCAGAUUUUUAUUUGGGUACAUUGUCCCGUAAGGAAUCUUUUGGUUGGUAAUGUAUCUCCAAAGAAGAAUGUUAAUGGCGAUGGCAUAUAAGACUCAGAUUCUGUUGGUUGGUAGUGCAUGCUUAAUAGUCUUAAGACAAAGACUAUAUGGGGAUAUAUGAGAGGAAAAUGACCCACGGCUUAGUAAAGUUCCGAUGGCUUAAAUAAGACUCGUUGGAUUGGAAAAAUGACCCACGGCUUAAAGAUGUCUUAAGACAAAGACUCUAAACCACAAAGUGGUACAUUGUCCCGUAAAGAAUAUUUUGGUUGGUAGUGCAUGCUCAAUAGUCUUAAGACAAAGACUCUAUACCACAAAGUGGUACACUGUCCCGUAAGGUAUAUUUUGGUUGGUAGUGCAUGCUCAAUAGUCAGAAGACAAAGACUCUAAAUCACAAAGUGGUACAUUGCUCCGUAAGGUAUAUUUUGGUUGGUAGUGCAGCUCAAUAGUCUUAAGACAAAGACUGUAUGGGGAUGAGAGAAAAAUGACCCACGGCUUAGUAAAAGUUCCUGGAUGGAAAAAUGACCAAUAGCUUAAAGAUGUCUUAAGACAAAGACUCUAAACCACAAAGUUGGAUGGGUUUUGUUAGAUGGAAAUAAAAAAAUGACCAACAGCUGAAUAAGCUUGAGAAAAAGUCUGAAACAAAAGUCUUUUACACAAAAGACAAUAUGGGGUUGCUUAGAAAAGAGUCCUUGGUGGAAUAAAAGAGUUCAAACAGUACAAACGUCUCUUGCCAAAGACAAAAGAGGUCAGGUAUUUAGAUAUGCUGAAUGGAAAAAAAAAGACCAGUGCCUCAGAACACAAAAGGUUCGUAGAUGGAAAAAAAGACAGGCAAAAGAGGGGAAAAUUAAAAAAACGACCAAUGGCUUGAUGAAGUCUUGAAAGACUAUGUCUGCUUGUCAAAUACAAGGCUUAAAAACUAUACAAAGACACUAUGAGUUGGAUGGGUAAUGAACAACUCUUAAGACAACAAAAGGAUGAACAUAAAAGACUAAAUCGAAAACAGUUUCUGCUUUGUUAAAAGUCGAGACAAAUAGUAUGAGUUGGUUUGUAAUUUGGCGGAUGGAAAGGAUGAACAUUUAGUGUCCUUAAUACAGAGCUGAUACAAAAAACAACUAAUGUCUUUGGAAAGUCUUUUGAUAAAGGCUGCUAAGGACUUAACGAAUCAUAACACAAAGAUUCUAAACAAGGAUUAUGAAUUGAAAAGAGAUUCUUUACUCUAGAUAAAGACAAUAUGGGUCCGUCAGUUUUCAGAUAUGAUGGGAACAUUGGCCAGCGGUUUAGAAAAAAAAGGUCAUUAGAUGAACAAAAACGACUAAUGGCUAAGAGAAUACUUGUUGGAUGAAGAAAAUGGAUGACAAACAACUUCAAGAAGUCAUAAGAGAAGACUUGUUGGAUAGUAAAACAACUUACACUUGCUGUAUAAAAUGAUGCCCAAACGGCUUAAAGAAACCAACUGCUUAGACAUUCUUGACAAUGACUAUGAAUCAAACACAGAUUCAUAUUUGACCACACAGCUUAGAAGUUUCUUGAGAAAGUCUAUGCCAUGGAUUGGCUUGCUGUAUUGAUAAAAGACCAACGGCUUUAAAAGUUCAUAAGGCAAAGUUUCUUGACAAUUACAACGGGGUUUUACGAAACCACAUGGCUUAGGAGUCUUCUGCAAAAGACUAUGGCUUGGUUUUGGUAUUAUAACCAAUUACUUUAAAAUGUCUCUAGGGAAAGACUAUAGAUGGAAAAACAAAACCACGGCUCAAAUGAAAUAAAAUCUCUCAUGACUGCAAACUACGGAUGGAGAACUGAUUCUUUACUCUGGCAGACAACUUCAAAUAGAAAGUCUCUCAACACACAGACUAUGAACCAUAAGGUUUAAAGAAUUGUUUCUAAAAGACUAUUACGCUGGAUGGAAAUAAUGACCAAUUCAUACUCUGAAAUCAGUCUUAAACAGAGACUACCAAUGGCUUAAAGAAUUAAAAGAGAUUCUUACUUAACAGCUUAAAUAGGCUUGUUGGAUGUGGGCAAAACACGACUUAAAGAUGUCCUAAGACAGUCUCCAAAGAUACAGGGACCUCAUCAUUGACUCGUUUGUUUCGCAUUGACUCGUUCAAGUCUAGCAUGUUGAACGGUUCUGAAGACUAUCUCGAUUCCGGUGGUGGAUGAGAUUGUUCUUCCUGAUGUGGCGAUUCCAUCAUCUAAGGUACCAAACUAUAACUGGGAACCAAGCCUUCCAUUUCAGAACAUCUCAGUUGGUACUUGUGCAGAUUACUACUCUGUGUUUGGUUGUGGUGAAUUGGGUGAAAGAGUUGAGUUGUUUAGAAGACCAACAGAUGUCACUAGUAGGCGUUUUGCACACCAUGGAUUCGAUAAAAUGCUUCUGAACUUGAGAAGAGAUAAGCUACAAAAUUGUAGCAGAGAAAAAUACAUAAAUCUUGGAGGUUUAAGUUCAAAUGCAGACUUGGAUAUCCGCUAAUACUGCGUUAUGGUUUGUAGACAAGUCAAGCUCUGAGAUAGAGGAUGGGCAGAGAGAUGAUUUAGGGGAGAAGCAUAAAUGGAGAUAUAAGCAACCAUGUUUUGUUUCAGAUGGGAUUUUCUGUACGGACAGUGUGGUAUUCAUCAUCAGUUCAGUUGUGACGUUGGUAGAGUUACAAUGAUCAGAAAUUAUCACUGUCACCACACUAUCUUGAUGUAUCAAUGGGAACUACUAGAGCUGAUUAACAGAGUUUUGUUUUGGCUACAAUUCUCACGGUUUGCAGAGUUGAAACAUGCCUUCGUGAAGACAUAUAUAAUUCGAAUUCAUGAAGAACAUGGCUUUGCUGAGUGGGCAUGUGCUCCUCUGUUUCACCGGGUGGCAGCUUGGACCAUGAACCAGAUUAUAGAGUGGUGGUCUCGGAUUGUUAACUGGAAUAAAAAGGGUGCAGCGCCACAAAGUCUGGUGCUGGCUACUCAGCAAGAACAGUGAGAUUGAGGGAGAACUUGAGUCUUACCAGCUUCGAGUUGGACACACAGCUCAGAACAGAUACAGAAUGAAGAAUGUGAAGUUGAUUGAUCAUCCUACAGUUAAACUGGAUAGCCUCGUUCAUAAUGAGUUUGCUUCAUGGAUUCACAUGUCGUUAGACCAAUUCAGACGUUUGUUUGGUUCUAUUGGUAAGAUGAGGAUGGGGACAUGGCUGGGAGUCGCUUAUGUUUUUGUUGACUGUUUGAAACGCAGAGUUUCAGUGAUAGCCGCAAGGCUAUGCACAGCGUUGCAGGGAGCAGGGUGGGAUCCUGAAUUUAUGACACAAGAUAUCAUACUGGACAGCCAGGAUACUCAAUCGGUGGGAAAAGAGGCCAGCGAUGAUAUGAUCAUCGAAAGGGGGGGUAUUGAUAUGAUCAUGGAAGCAAAUGACAUGUCACUGGAGAAACUUAUGAGCUGUCAUCUGCCAAAGGAGAAAAGCAUAUACGGUUACACAAGGGAGAGUAUAAAUAGAAGAGAGUAUUGUAAUUGAGAGUUAGUUGGUUAGUUGGAGCCUUGUGGCUUGGGCUUGCUUCUCUUGGAGAGCAAAAUAGCUUUCUCUUGUACUUUCCUUUGUAAUCUCUCUGUUCUUGAUAAGUAAGUGACUUGGAUCUUAUCAGAUAGAUGUAUAGACCAAUUGUCUGACAUCAGUAAUAAGAUAGAGCUCAAAGAAAAAACUGCCAUGGCUUUGGAAUGUCUCUAGACAAAGACAACCUACAGCUUAAAAAUGUCCCACAGCUAAGAAAUUCUAAGACAAAGACUUGUUGGAUGGUAAAAACAUUUCUGUUGAGAAAGUCGAUACUAUAUAGACUUGUUGGAUAGAGAAAAAAAACUUAAGGACUUGUUGUAUUGAUGAAACACCAACGGCUUUAAAAGUCAAACGGCAAAGAUUCUUGACAGUACGAAUCUACAACAGAGUUCAAUGUAACAACAUGGCUUAAAAGUCUUUUCAAAAAGAAUAUGGGUCUGUUUUGGUAAAAUGGCCAACGGCUUAAAAAGGUCUCAAGACAAAGACUAUGAACAACAAGGUUUAAAAGUAUACAAGGACUAUAAGUUAGAUGGAUAGAACCACCAACUUUUAAAACAAAGACAGUAGAAGAAUAACCAAUUCAUAGUCUAAAAUCAGUGUUUAGACAGAGACUACAUACCAAUCUUGAGAAAGAAGCAUAGCACAAAGAUUAUUAUCAAGUAUUAUGAAUCUAAAAGAGAGUCUUCAGGUAUAUGCUUCAGAAGUAAAGACUAAU
Raphanus sativus (radish) is the source of this 4711-nucleotide long non-coding RNA. RefSeq lists it as uncharacterized. Lineage: Eukaryota; Viridiplantae; Streptophyta; Magnoliopsida; Brassicales; Brassicaceae. The transcript has 3 exons. The record is from RefSeq and is a predicted model, not a curated record.